Molecule: long non-coding RNA, 461 nt
Organism: Nymphalis io (European peacock)
Lineage: Eukaryota; Metazoa; Arthropoda; Insecta; Lepidoptera; Nymphalidae
Exons: 3
Source: RefSeq, a predicted model, not a curated record
UCCGCGGCUCGCGCGCCCCGCGCCGGCCACGCCGCGCCGUCGUGUCGCAUUGCUCGACGCUCACCGAGUCGCUCGCGGCGGUCGUCCGAGACUAGUGACGCAUCACCUGCGCCGCGGCUGACCGGUCGGACUGUACGGAAUAGUAGGCCUCUCCGGCCUCACGAGACGAUCGGUCACCGUGUUCGCAAAACAGCUUGCACGCUGGCGACAUGCACUUGUCACUCUACUAAUGACAUCGACAGUAUGAACUUUUUGCAAAUGUCUACAGGCGUAGGUGAAUCAGACCGUCAGGUCACCAAUGUUAGACCUUGCGUCAACUCUGCGUCAAACCUUGAGAGGUUAUCGGUGAAAUAAAAGAAAACGAACCUUUCCCCUUUCGGCCAGUCGCCUCAGCAUCUCUAUGUGCUCGGCGGAGGGCAUGAAGUAAGCCCAGCGCACAUGCGGCGGACACGACCCGUCCG